This 497-nucleotide ribosomal RNA is filed under the name uncultured bacterium. RNAcentral describes it as "partial 16S ribosomal RNA". It matches the Rfam family "Bacterial small subunit ribosomal RNA", at positions 28 to 507 of the family's 1533-position model. The record is from RNAcentral.
GAUGAACGCUGGCGGCGUGCCUAAUACAUGCAAGUCGAGCGAACAGACGAGGAGCUUGCUCCUCUGACGUUAGCGGCGGACGGGUGAGUAACACGUGGAUAACCUACCUAUAAGACUGGGAUAACUUCGGGAAACCGGAGCUAAUACCGGAUAAUAUAUUGAACCGCAUGGUUCAAUAGUGAAAGACGGUUUUGCUGUCACUUAUAGAUGGAUCCGCGCCGCAUUAGCUAGUUGGUAAGGUAACGGCUUACCAAGGCAACGAUGCGUAGCCGACCUGAGAGGGUGAUAGGCCACACUGGAACCGAGACACGGUCCAGACUCCUACGGGAGGCAGCAGUAGGGAAUCUUCCGCAAUGGGCGAAAGCCUGACGGAGCAACGCCGCGUGAGUGAUGAAGGUCUUCGGAUCGUAAAACUCUGUUAUUAGGGAAGAACAAAUGUGUAAGUAACUAUGCACGUCUUGACGGUACCUAAUCAGAAAGCCACGGCUAACUACGUG